UACGUAGGUGGCAAGCGUUGUCCGGAUUUACUGGGCGUAAAGGGCGUGCAGGCGGUUUGUUAAGUGCAGGGUGAAAGCUCCCGGCUCAACUGGGAGAGGUCCUUGCAUACUGGCAAACUCGAGGGAGGCAGAGGAAAGUGGAAUUCCCGGUGUAGCGGUGAAAUGCGUAGAUAUCCGGAGGAACACCGGUGGCGAAGGCGGCUUCCUGGACCGACACUGACGCUGAGGCGCGAAAGCUAGGGGAGCAAACGGG
RNAcentral lists this ribosomal RNA (253 nucleotides) under uncultured bacterium. RNAcentral describes it as "partial 16S ribosomal RNA". It matches the Rfam family "Bacterial small subunit ribosomal RNA", at positions 524 to 776 of the family's 1533-position model. The record is from RNAcentral.